CACUGCUCGAAGAUUGCCGCUCCGACUGCUCAACUUUACGCAGCACGAGCCGACAAGUUUCCUCACUAAAAGGACAAUCGGUAGAAGAGAGACACAGAAGCCAACACAUAAAGAAAAUAACGCAAUAUUGAGUACAAACACGUUUCUGUCAUGAUCUGAGAUCCUAGGAGAGGCCCAAGCGCUCGCAUGCCCAGUAGACAUUCUACGGAAGCCAUAAAUCCAUCUGGUAAACCCGCCAAGUAUAGAGAAGCCCGAAAAACGCAGCCUUAACGCUGAUCCGUUCUAUUAGGAACACAAAAGAAACCAUCCAUGUUUAGAGAUACGCAAGGAUUUAAUGGGGAUUUUUGUUGCGUAGUCAUCCAUGGAGCUCAUAGUUACAUGUUCCUCGGUUAAAAUUUUUAUCUUGGUUCAAACUCAUACUGUUUUAGCAUUUCAUUUACGGUCGUCGCUCGGCGACAAAGGUCGCCAUUGCAUGUCUUUAUAAGACAACAAAUAAUACUGCAUUCUGAUUGGCUCUCAUAGCCAUGUUGAUCGAUGAUUGGUUAGUUUUUCGACUUUGUGUAAAUACAAAUUAAACUGGAAGCAACAGAA
Molecule: long non-coding RNA, 591 nt
Organism: Nematostella vectensis (starlet sea anemone)
Lineage: Eukaryota; Metazoa; Cnidaria; Anthozoa; Actiniaria; Edwardsiidae
Exons: 2
Source: RefSeq, a predicted model, not a curated record